This 509-nucleotide ribosomal RNA is filed under the name uncultured bacterium. RNAcentral's name for it is "bacterial SSU rRNA". It matches the Rfam family "Bacterial small subunit ribosomal RNA", at positions 32 to 517 of the family's 1533-position model. The record is from RNAcentral.
AAUCAACGCUGGCGGCGUGCCUCAGACAUGCAAGUCGAACGCGAAAGUUUCCUUCGGGAAACAAGUAGAGUGGCGCACGGGUGAGUAACACGUAGGUAAUCUACCUUCGGAUGGGGAAUAACAAUCGGAAACGGUUGCUAAUACCGCAUAAUGCAGCGGCACCUAAUGGUGACAGUUGUUAAAGCGGGGGAUCGAAAGACCUCGCGUCUGAAGAGGAGCCUGCGGCGGAUUAGCUAGNGGUAAGGUAAUGGCUUACCAAGGCUACGAUCCGUAACCGGCCUGAGAGGGCGGUCGGUCACACUGACACUGACAUACGGGUCAGACUCCUACGGGAGGCAGCAGUCGGGAAUUUUGGGCAAUGGGCGAAAGCCUGACCCAGCAACGCCGCGUGAAGGAUGAAAUCCCUCGGGAUGUAAACUUCGCAAGAACGGGAAGAAUAAGCGAUAGUUAAUAUCUGUCGUGAUGACGGUACCGUUUGUAAGCUCCGGCUAACUCCGUGCCAGCAGCCG